RNAcentral lists this signal recognition particle RNA (241 nucleotides) under Chrysoculter rhomboideus. Its description in RNAcentral is "partial Metazoan signal recognition particle RNA". It matches the Rfam family "Metazoan signal recognition particle RNA", at positions 1 to 263 of the family's 299-position model. From Rfam's summary of the family: The signal recognition particle (SRP) is a universally conserved ribonucleoprotein. The record is from RNAcentral. Lineage: Eukaryota; Haptophyta.
GCCGGGCGGUGUCACGCCCGCGUGUAACCCGAGUGGGGGCUGGGUGGUGGAGGACUGUGCCCGCACGGCGCCUUCCUAUCCGCUUGUCGAAAGGUGUCUGAGCGAAAGUAGUCGUGGCCGUUGUUUCGUCGUGCAGGCGACGAAACUCUGGCCUUAAAACUCCGUGCAACGAGGUAGGCUCGCCAGAGAGCACCUAAAAACGGAUGCGGCAGCUAGUCGCCAGACUGCACCUGAAGGCGGG